GAUGAACGCUGGCGGCGUGCCUAAUACAUGCAAGUCGAGCGAACAGAUGAGGAGCUUGCUCCUCUGACGUUAGCGGCGGACGGGUGAGUAACACGUGGAUAACCUACCUAUAAGACUGGGAUAACUUCGGGAAACCGGAGCUAAUACCGGAUAAUAUAUUGAACCGCAUGGUUCAAUAGUGAAAGACGGUUUUGCUGUCACUUAUAGAUGGAUCCGCGCCGCAUUAGCUAGUUGGUAAGGUAACGGCUUACCAAGGCGACGAUGCGUAGCCGACCUGAGAGGGUGAUCAGCCACACUGGAACUGAGACACGGUCCAGACUCCUACGGGAGGCAGCAGUAGGGAAUCUUCCGCAAUGGGCGAAAGCCUGACGGAGCAACGCCGCGUGAGUGAUGAAGGUCUUCGGAUCGUAAAACUCUGUUAUUAGGGAAGAACAAAUGUGUAAGUAACUAUGCACGUCUUGACGGUACCUAAACAGAAAGCCACGGCUAACUACGUG
This 497-nucleotide ribosomal RNA is filed under the name uncultured bacterium. RNAcentral's name for it is "partial 16S ribosomal RNA". It matches the Rfam family "Bacterial small subunit ribosomal RNA", at positions 28 to 507 of the family's 1533-position model. The record is from RNAcentral.